GUUUUGAAAACUAAAACAGAAUUAAAAGGUAAUAAAAGAAAAUAAGUUUUAAUAAAAUAAAUGUUUGCUGAUGAUAUCUGUAGCAUGAUGAGUUAACUGUAAUAGGCGCGUACAGCUCCUUUAUAAUAGAGAGUUACCUAUAUCUUAAAAUAUUCCAUCACGGACACUGCUAUGUUAACACGUCUUAUAUAUUAUAGUUAAGAAUAAUAAACGUAUUUAUAUAUACUUAUGUAGCAGGGUCAUAUUUUCGUAUAACAGUAUUUAUUUAUGAAACUUGUCAGCUCUUACCGGUGUUUUUUUUCUUUAGGUUUUGAUAAUUUCUUGCUGGUCUUUUAUUUUAUUGUUUUCUGUGUGAUCUCGCGCGAGUUUGGCGGGAAUGUUGUGUUGAAAAGAGUUUACACGGUUGAUGUAGAGAACAUUCUGUUAAUUUGAACUUGUUUAUAUGAUUUACAUUUGGUUGAGCUAUCCAAGUGUUUAUGUAGUUUUUUAACCAUCACGUGAGACAGGAUGUAUGUGAUGUGAAGUGAAGUGAUAUAAAUUGCCACAUUGUAUUGUGGAAUAGGCUUAAGAUCCCUUAGAUCUUGCCUUGAUUAAAGUUGACUUCAACAGAGAAGAUAUAUAGUAUAUUCAUGAGUUUGACUGUAUAUGUAGAUUGGAAACAAUCAAUGAAUUACCACAACUACCCUGUGUUAUAACACCAAGUGUUACACUUAUGUCGUUCAUAAACCCAUGACGUAACAAUAUCGUACAUACAAACUAAUAUGUUUCAUUAAAUUACUACUAUGACGUCAUUCCUUUGUUCUGAUCGUACUGUAUUUUCUGUACGAAAUCUGCUGUGGUCAUAGUAUUAUUUUUAGUGCUCGCCAAUUUUUUUAAGCCAAUCACCGACGAGGAUUUUUUUCAAAUUUUCAGGUUACAAAUCUUAAUAGAACAGCUUUUAUAUAAACUGGACGUUUUAUAUUAUAAAACGAAAGUGGGCGGAGCACUAAGCCGGUUAGAGUGCAUAUUGGAUGUUCUUCGUAAAUAAGAAAGCUACAGUCGCUUCGCAAGCUCCGCUCCUUUUUAGCUUUCUUAUUUACGAAGAACACCCAAUAUGCACUCUAACCUAUACUUACAAUAGCUUUAGUAGCUCUUACAUUUGGUUUGCAAUCAUGCAACUACAUAGUUAGGUAUGUUUUGGUUGAGUCUAUUAUGUUUUGUUUAGGGGGUGAGUUGUCAAACACAAAUUUACAAUUUAUAUGCAUUUAUUUUUUUCCAAUGAUUGUUAUUAUCUUAAAUGCUUCUGGGAUUGUUGUUUUAUCAAUCCAUUUAUAAAUAAGAUUGUUAUAUGUCUAUUAACGAUAUAAUUUUAAUGAACACGAAAUUAGUUCACACCUUUAUGUGUAUUGAUAACGUGAUGGUUUAAGCCAACGAAAACACAUCAAUAUUAUUACAAUCAGGCAGAGAAAAGGUUUGCAAAGAGUAAAUCGAUAAUCUUUAUGUAGCAAACAAACUUUGAAUUGCAAGUAUUUUUUUCAUAUCUUUUCGGCAGGAUAAACUGUCCGAGGAGGGCCAGGCAUUUUCGUAUCGUAAAAUGGCUGCCAUUUACAGUAUCAAGUGAUUAUCCCAAGCGCCACGGGAAUUAUAAAUAUAGCUAACCUCGGCGCGUCGCAUAGGAUGGAAAAUAC
Long non-coding RNA from Ruditapes philippinarum (Manila clam), 1667 nucleotides. RefSeq lists it as uncharacterized. Lineage: Eukaryota; Metazoa; Mollusca; Bivalvia; Venerida; Veneridae. The transcript has 3 exons. The record is from RefSeq and is a predicted model, not a curated record.